RNAcentral lists this ribosomal RNA (270 nucleotides) under uncultured bacterium. RNAcentral's name for it is "partial 16S ribosomal RNA". It matches the Rfam family "Bacterial small subunit ribosomal RNA", at positions 88 to 354 of the family's 1533-position model. The record is from RNAcentral.
CCGGCGACCGGCGCACGGGUGAGUAACACGUAUGCAACCUGGCCGUGACAGAUGGAUAACCGGGAGAAAUCCCGCCUAAUACAACAUAAUGCCGGGAGGGGACAUCCCCUGCCGGUCAAAGGGGGCGACCCCGGUCACGGAUGGGCAUGCGGCGCAUUAGGUAGUUGGUGGGGCAACGGCCCACCAAGCCGACGAUGCGUAGGGGUUCUGAGAGGAAGGUCCCCCACACUGGUACUGAGACACGGACCAGACUCCUACGGAAGGCAGCAG